Daphnia pulex (common water flea) is the source of this 454-nucleotide long non-coding RNA. RefSeq lists it as uncharacterized. The record is from RefSeq and is a predicted model, not a curated record. Lineage: Eukaryota; Metazoa; Arthropoda; Branchiopoda; Diplostraca; Daphniidae. The transcript has 3 exons.
AAUAGACCUCUUGCACCGUGCGGAUAGCAGGAUUCUUGUAGUCCGACAACGCUGCAAUCCGCCAUAUUGAGAAAACCACACCCUUUUUUAACACUGUCUCUUAUGGAAGUAUUUUUUCAAAGUGUUUUUUCUCUUAACUGGAUAACAACUUCGACCAAAGAAAAGUAUUGAAAAAUACUAUAUCAUUCAGGGCAUAUGGGCAUUGUUUACAUACUAUAUUGUCAUGUGUGACGAGGUAUUGGUGCGGCUGUGCUAGAAUUUACGAUACUUCACGGACAUUUUUGCGACGGCCUGGCAGCCGUCGAAGCGAAAAAACAUUGCUUUGCUUGUUUCUGCUAUGUUCUGCACGAACAUCGUCUUUACGUAUGUCUCUUGGAAUAGGGGUAGAUACAUGAAAUUUAGAUCUGUCACCGGGUUUUUUACCACCAACUUGAUCGCAUCAUUCUUCAAAGAA